Molecule: transfer RNA, 71 nt
Filed under: Camelus bactrianus (Bactrian camel)
Lineage: Eukaryota; Metazoa; Chordata; Mammalia; Artiodactyla; Camelidae
Also listed under: 1 other name
Rfam family: tRNA
About the family: Transfer RNA (tRNA) molecules are approximately 80 nucleotides in length. Their secondary structure includes four short double-helical elements and three loops (D, anti-codon, and T loops). Further hydrogen bonds mediate the characteristic L-shaped molecular structure. tRNAs have two regions of fundamental functional importance: the anti-codon, which is responsible for specific mRNA codon recognition, and the 3' end, to which the tRNAs corresponding amino acid is attached (by aminoacyl-tRNA synthetases). tRNAs cope with the degeneracy of the genetic code in two manners: having more than one tRNA (with a specific anti-codon) for a particular amino acid; and 'wobble' base-pairing, i.e. permitting non-standard base-pairing at the 3rd anti-codon position.
Source: Rfam by way of RNAcentral
GUGAGUAUAGCAAGUGGUAGAGUGCAUGCUUAACAUGCAUGAGGUCCUGGGUUCGAUCCCCAGUACCUCCU